GAAAUGCGAUAAGUAAUGUGAAUUGCAGAAUUCAGUGAAUCAUCGAAUCUUUGAACGCACAUUGCGCCCGCCAGUAUUCUGGCGGGCAUGCCUGUUCGAGCGUCAUUACAACCCUCAGGCCCCCGGGCCUGGCGUUGGGGAUCGGCGGAAGCCCCCUGCGGGCACAACGCCGUCCCCCAAAUACAGUGGCGGUCCCGCCGCAGCUUCCAUUGCGUAGUAGCUAACACCUCGCAACUGGAGAGCGGCGCGGCCACGCCGUAAAACACCCAACUUCUGAAUGUGGACCUCGAAUCAGGUAGGAAUACCCGCUGAACUUAAGC
Molecule: unclassified non-coding RNA, 320 nt
Filed under: plant metagenome
Description: partial contains 5.8S ribosomal RNA, internal transcribed spacer 2, and large subunit ribosomal RNA
Rfam family: 5.8S ribosomal RNA (bases 1-105)
Source: RNAcentral